RNAcentral lists this ribosomal RNA (404 nucleotides) under uncultured bacterium. RNAcentral's name for it is "bacterial SSU rRNA". It matches the Rfam family "Bacterial small subunit ribosomal RNA", at positions 28 to 424 of the family's 1533-position model. The record is from RNAcentral.
GACGAACGCUGGCGGCGUGCUUAACACAUGCAAGUCGAGCGGGAUCCAACCGGUGGCAACACCGGGGAAGAUCUAGCGGCGAACGAGUGAGUAACACGUGAGCAACCUGCCCCGAAGACUGGGAUAACACCGGGAAACCGGUGCUAAUACCGGAUGUCGUCAUUAGGCCGCAUGACCUGAUGAUGAAAGGAUUCAUCGCUUCGGGAGGGGCUCGCGGGCUAUCAGCNGUUGGUGGGGUAACGGCCUACCAAGGCGACGACGGCUAGCUGGUCUGAGAGGACGACCAGCCACACUGGGACUGAGACACGGCCCAGACUCCUACGGGAGGCAGCAGUGGGGAAUCUUGCGCAAUGGGCGAAAGCCUGACGCAGCAACGCCGCGUGGGGGAUGAAUGCCUUCGGGUU